AUGAACGCUGGCGGCGUGCCUAAUACAUGCAAGUCGAGCGAACAGACGAGGAGCUUGCUCCUCUGACGUUAGCGGCGGACGGGUGAGUAACACGUGGAUAACCUACCUAUAAGACUGGGAUAACUUCGGGAAACCGGAGCUAAUACCGGAUAAUAUAUUGAACCGCAUGGUUCAAUAGUGAAAGACGGUUUUGCUGUCACUUAUAGAUGGAUCCGCGCCGCAUUAGCUAGUUGGUAAGGUAACGGCUUACCAAGGCAACGAUGCGUAGCCGACCUGAGAGGGUGAUCGGCCACACUGGACCUGAGACACGGUCCAGACUCCUACGGGAGGCAGCAGUAGGGAAUCUUCCGCAUUGGGCGAAAGCCUGACGGAGCAACGCCGCGUGAGUGAUGAAGGUCUUCGGAUCGUAAAACUCUGUUAUUAGGGAAGAACAAAUGUGUAAGUAACUAUGCACGUCUUGACGGUACCUAAUCAGAAAGCCACGGCUAACUACGU
RNAcentral lists this ribosomal RNA (495 nucleotides) under uncultured bacterium. Its description in RNAcentral is "partial 16S ribosomal RNA". It matches the Rfam family "Bacterial small subunit ribosomal RNA", at positions 29 to 506 of the family's 1533-position model. The record is from RNAcentral.